AGAGUUUGAUCAUGGCUCAGAUUGAACGCUGGCGGCAGGCCUAACACAUGCAAGUCGAGCGGUAGCACAGAGAGCUUGCUCUCGGGUGACGAGCGGCGGACGGGUGAGUAAUGUCUGGGAAACUGCCUGAUGGAGGGGGAUAACUACUGGAAACGGUAGCUAAUACCGCAUAAUGUCGCAAGACCAAAGUGGGGGACCUUCGGGCCUCAUGCCAUCAGAUGUGCCCAGAUGGGAUUAGCUAGUAGGUGGGGUAACGGCUCACCUAGGCGACGAUCCCUAGCUGGUCUGAGAGGAUGACCAGCCACACUGGAACUGAGACACGGUCCAGACUCCUACGGGAGGCAGCAGUGGGGAAUAUUGCACAAUGGGCGCAAGCCUGAUGCAGCCAUGCCGCGUGUGUGAAGAAGGCCUUCGGGUUGUAAAGCACUUUCAGCGGGGAGGAAGGCGUUAAGGUUAAUAACCUUGGCGAUUGACGUUACCCGCAGAAGAAGCACCGGCUAACUCCGUGCCAGCAGCCGCGGUAAUACGGAGGGUGCAAGCGUUAAUCGGAAUUACUGGGCGUAAAGCGCACGCAGGCGGUCUGUCAAGUCGGAUGUGAAAUCCCCGGGCUCAACCUGGGAACUGCAUUCGAAACUGGCAGGCUAGAGUCUUGUAGAGGGGGGUAGAAUUCCAGGUGUAGCGGUGAAAUGCGUAGAGAUCUGGAGGAAUACCGGUGGCGAAGGCGGCCCCCUGGACAAAGACUGACGCUCAGGUGCGAAAGCGUGGGGAGCAAACAGGAUUAGAUACCCUGGUAGUCCACGCCGUAAACGAUGUCGAUUUGGAGGUUGUGCCCUUGAGGCGUGGCUUCCGGAGCUAACGCGUUAAAUCGACCGCCUGGGGAGUACGGCCGCAAGGUUAAAACUCAAAUGAAUUGACGGGGGCCCGCACAAGCGGUGGAGCAUGUGGUUUAAUUCGAUGCAACGCGAAGAACCUUACCUGGUCUUGACAUCCACAGAACUUUGCAGAGAUGGUUUGGUGCCUUCGGGAACUGUGAGACAGGUGCUGCAUGGCUGUCGUCAGCUCGUGUUGUGAAAUGUUGGGUUAAGUCCCGCAACGAGCGCAACCCUUAUCCUUUGUUGCCAGCGGUCCGGCCGGGAACUCAAAGGAGACUGCCAGUGAUAAACUGGAGGAAGGUGGGGAUGACGUCAAGUCAUCAUGGCCCUUACGACCAGGGCUACACACGUGCUACAAUGGCAUAUACAAAGAGAAGCGACCUCGCGAGAGCAAGCGGACCUCAUAAAGUAUGUCGUAGUCCGGAUUGGAGUCUGCAACUCGACUCCAUGAAGUCGGAAUCGCUAGUAAUCGUAGAUCAGAAUGCUACGGUGAAUACGUUCCCGGGCCUUGUACACACCGCCCGUCACACCAUGGGAGUGGGUUGCAAAAGAAGUAGGUAGCUUAACCUUCGGGAGGGCGCUUACCACUUUGUGAUUCAUGACUGGGGUGAAGUCGUAACAAGGUAACCGUAGGGGAACCUGCGGUUGGAUCACCU
This 1528-nucleotide ribosomal RNA is filed under the name Klebsiella pneumoniae. RNAcentral's name for it is "bacterial SSU rRNA". It matches the Rfam family "Bacterial small subunit ribosomal RNA". Lineage: Bacteria; Pseudomonadati; Pseudomonadota; Gammaproteobacteria; Enterobacterales; Enterobacteriaceae. The record is from RNAcentral.